RNAcentral lists this small nuclear RNA (281 nucleotides) under Octodon degus (degu). RNAcentral's name for it is "7SK RNA (ENSODEG00000022992.1)". It matches the Rfam family "7SK RNA". From Rfam's summary of the family: 7SK was discovered as an abundant small nuclear RNA in the mid-70s but a possible function has only recently been suggested. Two independent studies have found that 7SK RNA binds the CDK9/cyclin T complex (known as elongation factor P-TEFb). P-TEFb activates transcription by phosphorylating the C-terminal domain of RNA polymerase II. The record is from Rfam by way of RNAcentral. Lineage: Eukaryota; Metazoa; Chordata; Mammalia; Rodentia; Octodontidae.
GGAUCUGAUGGCGAUCUGGCUGCAGUGUCUGUCACCCCAUGGGUCACCACAGUGGACUCAGCUGAUCUAGCAAUCCUCUCCCCUCCUCACCGCUCCGUGUGCAUCUCUCCUGAAGCUGAGUGAGAAGGAAGAGGGUGACCCUCUUGUAUUCUUGGUGAAGGGUAUAGGACUAGCUGCGCUCCCCUGCUAGAAGUUUCAAGCAAGCUCUCAAAAGCUGAGUUAUUGUAAGGAACUUUUACUCUCAUAUACAUAUCCAACUGCCCCCCACACAGCGUCUCCUU